This is a long non-coding RNA of Passer montanus (Eurasian tree sparrow), 1464 nucleotides long. RefSeq lists it as uncharacterized. The transcript has 5 exons. NCBI's taxonomy places the organism in Eukaryota, Metazoa, Chordata, Aves, Passeriformes, Passeridae. The record is from RefSeq and is a predicted model, not a curated record.
AUUUAAUGUUACAGAUAUUAGACAUAUCAAAAUAAGUGUUUUUGAGAAAUUUUCAGGUGCGUGGUUAAUGCAGCUUACACCUUAGAAUGUGUUUAACUCUUUUAUAGCUUAUAAGCCAAAUUCUGUCUGCUACAUUAGUGUGAACUGUAUGCAACUCCAAUUCCUCACUAUAAAUGCGUAUGAGCAUACAAUAGAAAUAAGAGCACCCUGAAAUAAAAGCUGAAAUAAAUGCUCUUGUUCAUUAGCUUGUUACGAGAUUCACAGAUGUUAUCCCAUAGAAAAUGCAAUGUUGUGGAGUGUUGGGUAGGCAGGAAAAAUCCUUUGUUUUAGUCCUGAGCUCUAUAAACAUGUACAUCAUGCAAGUGUGUGUGUAUAUUAACACACACACUUGUCUUUUAUGUUCUUUGUUUUCUUUUGCCUGGUGUAUCAGGUUUAAAUGUUUUACUUGUGCUUUCAAGGCCCUAAAGUACUCUGACUCAGACUGCAUGUCUGUCAUUAAUGUCUUGUAAUUUCUCCUCGUUUCUCAGUAGUGUUCCUAUUUUGCCCUCUCUCUUAUCCCUCUUCUGUUUUCUAGUAGUCUGCCUUUAUCUAUGGAAUUCCCUUCUUUUCUAUUACCUAGAAGAAAGAAAUUACAUCGCUUCUAGCACCCAGCAAGCUGUUACAGAUCCAUUAAGAGAAGAUUCCUGUUCCUGUUCAGCCAACUGGGUCUUCUGCCUAGACCUCCAACAUUUGGGAAUUGCAUGCUUCCAUGCCCUUAGACACAAAACCUACCAUCACUGAAGGAACUUCUCUUGCACAUUAUUGCAUGUGUCUGUUGACUUUGUGAGCACAUACUGAUGAUACACCUGGCUCAGCCUGGAGAGGAUGAGACUGAGAGGUGAUCUCAUCAAUGUAUGAACAGCAGUACAGGCUGUCCACAGCAUUCCUCUGACCUUUAUUUCGGAAGAAGAAACAGAAAGAAGUCCUCUACUUCUGGAACACUGCUAAGUGGAACAGUUAAUCUGGAAGUUUUGCAACAUGAAUCCCAAGAAUCAGUGAUUGUGAAUGACCUAAGCCAAACUCUGACGUAGAGGAAGCAACAAUGCAAGGGAAAAAGAGGUCCUGAAAAACCUGACAGACAUCACUGAAAUCUGUCUGAGUUCAAGACAAUGUCCUCAUCAGACUGAUUCAUCCUUUAAAUUUGUCCUCAAAACCCUUAUUGAACAUUUUUGGUUGUGUCUUGAGUAGUAUAUCCUUCUUCUUAAUCCUGAGGAUGGAACCAUUGGAAUGGCCUAAAUAGAUGUGUUCCUCGAAAUCUUUUAACAUAAUAGUUCUUCUUCUGACUUCGAUAAAAUCACAUAUACUACUGUACUCAUUGCAGCAUACAGUUGUGAGCUGUGAAGUCAAAGUAUAUUCAUGCACAACCCCUUAAAUGUGAAAAAGAAAAUAACAGCCACAAUUCUAAAAAUGUUUCAGAGAUACUGA